This 431-nucleotide ribosomal RNA is filed under the name uncultured bacterium. Its description in RNAcentral is "partial 16S ribosomal RNA". It matches the Rfam family "Bacterial small subunit ribosomal RNA", at positions 29 to 506 of the family's 1533-position model. The record is from RNAcentral.
AACGAACGCUGGCGGCAUGCCUAACACAUGCAAGUCGAACGAGACCUUCGGGUCUAGUGGCGCACGGGUGCGUAACGCGUGGGAACCUGCCCUUAGGUUCGGAAUAACUCCCCGAAAGGGGUGCUAAUACCGGAUAAUGUCUUCGGACCAAAGAUUUAUCGCCUUUGGAUGGGCCCGCGUUGGAUUAGCUAGUUGGUAGGGUAAAAGCCUACCAAGGCGACGAUCCAUAGCUGGUCUGAGAGGAUGAUCAGCCACACUGGGACUGAGACACGGCCCAGACUCCGCCGGGGGGACGCAGGGGGGGAUAUUGGGCAAUGGGCGAAAGCCUUAUCCCCCUUUCCCGGGUGAGUGAAGAAGGCCUUGGGGUUGUAAGCCCUUUUCCCCGGGAUGGUAAUGACCGGACCUGGAGAAAAAGCCCCGGCUAACCCCGU